Molecule: long non-coding RNA, 3242 nt
Filed under: Sus scrofa (pig)
Lineage: Eukaryota; Metazoa; Chordata; Mammalia; Artiodactyla; Suidae
Description: lncRNA (ENSSSCG00000062296.1)
Source: RNAcentral
UUUUUUUUUUUUUUUUUUUUUGGCUUUUUGCUAUUUCUUGGGCCGCUCCCGCAGCAUAUGGAGGUUCCCAGGCUAGGGGUCGAAUCGGAGCUGUAGCCACCAGCCUAUGCCAGAGCCACAACAACGCGGGAUCCGAGCCGCGUCUGCAACCUACACCACAGCUCACGGCAACGCCGGAUCGUUAACCCACUGAGCAAGGGCAGGGACCGAACCCGCAACCUCAUGGUUCCUAGUCGGAUUCGUUAACCACUGCGCCACAACGGGAACUCCCUGAGCCACUGUUCUUAUCCUAGGAGCCACUUGAAGGACACAGCCUUGAAAGAGCAAUUCUUUGUUGAGACCAUCUGGAUGGUAUGAGGGACUGAGCCCGGUUAAGGCCUCUGUAUAAACUUUACGAUCCUGGCAGGCAGGUGUGGAGACCUAAUUAUCUUGCAGCCACCCAAGAUGAGCCUUGUGUGUGAAUUCCCCUCCUUAUUAGAACAGCGCCUACCAGGCUGGAGCGGUCUGCCUCUUUCUUCGGUUUCUCUUUGCCCCACAUGUACGGGAGCCAGUUUGGAGCUUUACCUGGGGAACCCUUAAAACCUUUACCUGGGAAACUUUUGGAACCAGCAGUGGUAUUUCGUGAAAGCCUCCCAACCCAAGACAAGUUUGCACUCAAGGUGCCCACAGGCUGCCGUCAUUGGAAGGGAUGCCCAGAGUUCGAGGCUCUGCUUUCAAGACGGACCACUCACGUGGCUGCCAGGUGAGGGCGGGCUGUUGGCAAGAAGCUCAGUGUCUCACCUCUGAACCUCUUCAUUGGGCCACUCGAGUGUCCUCAAGACAUGACUGGCUUCCCCCAAAGUGAGAGUUCCAAGAGAGAGCAAGGAAGAGCUGCCCUGUCGUUCCUCACCUACUUUAGAAGUCAUGCACCAUCCUUUUUGCCAUAUCCUGUUGGGCAGCCCUCUGCAGUGUGGGGAGCAUUACACAAGGACACGAGUUACAAGAGUUGGGGUGAUGGGGCGCCAUCUUGGAGGCCGGCUCCCGACCUUCUUAUAUAGUUACACUUUCUUAUUUGUUAUGUGCAUUGUUCAUUGUCUUUCUUUGUCCACUGGCUACAUCUGAGAGCAGAUCUCUUUGUCCUUUUUUAUUUCCCAAGUGCCCAGAAUAGUACCUGCCACAUAGAGGGUUCUCAAUAUGUACUUGUUACCUUGUAUUUAUUUUAAUGGAAUUAUUUGCCCAGGGACUAUAGGGAUGAGGGAGACAGAGGCGUCAGUACCUCUGAGUUAUGCUUAUGAAACAAAAACCCCACUGCUUCUCCCGGUCACUUACUAGAUAAGCUGCGCAUUGGCUCUGAUGGCUUUCGUUAAAAAAACCAUUAAGGACCACCUGUAUUUCAGUAGCUAGUGAGAAGGAGUUACAGGAGCAUGCUGCUAUUCUUCCAUUCCACAGGAAACAAACUAAAAGGAAGCUCCUUAAUCCCUCUGUGCCUCAGUUUUCUCAUCUGAAAAGUGGGAAUGUUGCUGGCCAUUUUUAAGGAUUAAGGGAGAUAACAGAUACAAAGUAUUUUGAGAUAUAAACUCUCAAAAUAUGUGUUAAUAUCAUUUGAAUUUAGGAGGUGUUUGAUUCCUGAAACAGUGUGUGAGAGAGAUGGAGGAGCCCUCUCUGGGCCUUUGGGACUGCUGAGAGGAGGCAUGAGGGUGGGUUCAUGCUGGAAGUAUGCUGUGAUCCCACACCCUAGACUCACUGCCUAAAUGGACAUCUGCGAGUCUUCUGGUGGGCCACCCAGGAGUCUUCUGGGCACGUUGAGGAAGUGGUGGGGUCCAUCUGCACCUCCAGAGCAUUUUCCUUCAGAUCCUCCUAGGUGCAGCUCCUGGGCUUGUACCUACGGAGAAGGUCAAGUCCAGUCCCUGACCUUGUGGGACUCAGAGUCUGGAGGGAGAGGCUAUUGGGAAGGCCACUGGUUCUGGGAGAGUGUGGCCAGUGCAGAGACAAGUCCUAGAGCCUGGGGGCCAGUGGAAGGAGCUCAGAGAUGGCCCUUGAGAGGAGGUGAUACCACCUGCACUUUGGGGUUGAGUAGGAGUUGGGAGUGUGAAGGGUAUGAGGCUGGCAAAGAAAAUGUCCCAGCAGAGGAAACAGCCUUGGCAAGAGCCAGAAGCUACAGAAAGUGGGAUGUGGGGACCUGGGGAGGCAGAAGAGAUGAGCAGUCUGGAAUCUUAUCCUGUUGGAUGUUUUUGUCAUAGCCCUAGAAACACCUAAAGAAUGAGUUUGUCAGGCCUGUGAUUAAAAAAAAAAAAAUCCAAGGGUAGGGAGUCUCUGUUAUGGCUCAGCAGGUUGAGGACCUGAUGUGGCCUCUCUGAAGACUCGGGUUUGAUCCCUGGCCUCACUCAGUGGAUUGGGGAUCCGGCUUUGCCGUGCGCUGUAGCAUAGGUCACAGACACUGCUGGGAGCUGAUGUUGCUGUGGCUGUGGAGUAGGCCUGCAGCUGCAGCUCCAAUUCAACCCCUAGGUGUGGCCUUAAAAAAAAAAAAAGCAAAAAACAAACCUCCAGUGGCCUUCUGGAGGACAGGCUGGAAUGGGUGAGGCAGGGAGAGGAGAGAGGCAGUGGUUGGGGACCCUGAAGCCGAGGGUCGGAAGCAUGGACUGCAGGAGUCCACGGGGUGAGACCCAGGGAGCCUCCUGCCUGCGCUGAUCGGAAGGAGAGCCUGCCCUGUGGUCGGCUCGUUACUGCCAGUGGAGGAGGCCUUGGGGGGCCACACGAGUACCUGGGAGCAGAGAAGCACCUGCUUCACUUCUGUACCUGCUUUCUUCUCCUGCGAGGAACGAGACUCAUUUCAAAAGAGCUCGACCCCCGCCCGUUCCCCCUUUUCCCAUUUGAAAUGAAAGGACCUCUAUGCGCCCCCUGCACUCACUCUAUGCCUGACUCCGUGAACACCUGGGAUGAGAACGGUGGUCGCAAGAUUUAUGCCUCCUGGACACCAGAGCCUACCCGUCUUUGCUUCCUCAGCAACCUGUAGUACAAGGCCCCCUGAGCCGAUGAUCUUGGCAAAGGGAUGCAAGCCCUGUUUAAAACCCUUUCUAAGAGUUCCCAUUAUGGCGCAGCAGGUUAAGGACCCAGCAUAGUCUCUGUGAGGAGGUGGGUUUGAUCCCUGGCCUCACUCAGGGGGUUAAGGAAUCGGCGUUGCCGUGAGCUGCGGUGUAGGUCGCUGCUGUGGCGUGGAUCUGGUGUUGCUGUGGCUGUGGUGUAGGCUGGCGGCUACAGCUCCA